GACGUAGGGUGCGAGCGUUGUCCGGAUUUAUUGGGCGUAAAGAGCUCGUAGGCGGCUCGUCGCGUCGACCGUGAAAACCCGCGGCUUAACUGUGGGCGUGCGGUCGAUACGGGCAUCACUGGAGUUCGGCAGGGGAGACUGGAAUUCCUGGUGUAGCGGUGAAAUGCGCAGAUAUCAGGAGGAACACCGGUGGCGAAGGCGGGUCUCUGGGCCGAUACUGACGCUGAGGUGCGAAAGCGUGGGGAGCAAACAGG
This 254-nucleotide ribosomal RNA is filed under the name uncultured bacterium. RNAcentral describes it as "partial 16S ribosomal RNA". It matches the Rfam family "Bacterial small subunit ribosomal RNA", at positions 524 to 776 of the family's 1533-position model. The record is from RNAcentral.